Molecule: ribosomal RNA, 258 nt
Filed under: uncultured bacterium
Lineage: Bacteria
Description: partial small subunit ribosomal RNA
Rfam family: Bacterial small subunit ribosomal RNA
Source: RNAcentral
AGAGCGAACGCUGGCGGCGUGCUUAACACAUGCAAGUCGAACGAGGUCUGUAGCAAUACAGAUACUCGUGGCGAACGGGUGCGUAACACGUGGAUAACCUUCCUUCAGGUGGGGAAUAACCCAGUGAAAUUGGGCUAAUACCGCAUAACAUGACGAUGCCACAUGGUGUUGUCUUCAAAGGCGCAAGUCGCCAGAAGAGGGAUCCGCGGCCGAUUAGCUAGUUGGCGAGGUAAUGGCCCACCAAGGCAGUGAUCGGUA